Molecule: ribosomal RNA, 465 nt
Filed under: uncultured bacterium
Lineage: Bacteria
Description: partial 16S ribosomal RNA
Rfam family: Bacterial small subunit ribosomal RNA
Source: RNAcentral
CCUACGGGAGGCAGCAGUGGGGAAUAUUGCGCAAUGGGCGAAAGCCUGACGCAGCGACGCCGCGUGAGGGAUGAAGGUCUUCGGAUCGUAAACCUCUGUUAGCAGGGAAGAACGGUCAUUGUGCUAAUCAGCAGUGAAUUGACGGUACCUGCAAAGGAAGCACCGGCUAACUCCGUGCCAGCAGCCGCGGUAAUACGGGGGGUGCGUGCGUUAAUCGGAAUUACUGGGCGUAAAGCGCUCGUAGGCGGUAUGUCAAGUCAAGGGUGAAAGCCCCGGGCUCAACGUGGGAACUGCCUUUGAAACUGGCAGACUGGAGUAUGUGAGAGGAUAGUGGAAUUCCAGGUGUAGGAGUGAAAUCCGUAGAUAUCUGGAGGAACAUCGGUGGCGAAGGCGACUAUCUGGCACAUAACUGACGCUGAGGAGCGAAAGCGUGGGUAGCAAACAGGAUUAGAUACCCUAGUAGUC